AGAUUUGUGUUAGGAUUUUACUGAGU
RNAcentral lists this non-coding RNA (26 nucleotides) under Cricetulus griseus (Chinese hamster). Lineage: Eukaryota; Metazoa; Chordata; Mammalia; Rodentia; Cricetidae. The record is from RNAcentral.